CCGCACAAGCAGCGGAGCGUGUGGUUUAAUUCGUUGCUACACGAAGAACCUUACCUGGGUUUGACAUAUAGGUUGUAGGGAACUGAAAAGGGACCGACCCUUCGGGGAGCCUAUACAGGUGUUGCAUGGCUGUCGUCAGCUCGUGUCGUGAGAUGUUCGGUUAAGUCCGCUAACGAGCGCAACCCUCGCCGUAUGUUAUAUGUGUCAUACGGGACUGCCGGUAAAAAGCCGGAGGAAGGUGGGGAUGAUGUCAAGUCAGCAUGACCUUUAUAUCCAGGGCUACACACACGCUACAAUGGUCUGUACAAUGGGUAGCCAAGCCGCGAGGCGGAGCCAAUCCUGAAAGCAGGCCUCAGUUCAGAUUGCAGUCUGCAACCCGACUGCAUGAAGCCGGAGUUGCUAGUAACCGCAGGUCAGCAAUACUGCGGUGAAUACGUUCCCGGGUCUUGCACACACCGCCCGU
RNAcentral lists this ribosomal RNA (463 nucleotides) under uncultured bacterium. RNAcentral's name for it is "bacterial SSU rRNA". It matches the Rfam family "Bacterial small subunit ribosomal RNA", at positions 921 to 1397 of the family's 1533-position model. The record is from RNAcentral.